This 470-nucleotide ribosomal RNA is filed under the name uncultured organism. RNAcentral describes it as "partial 16S ribosomal RNA". It matches the Rfam family "Bacterial small subunit ribosomal RNA", at positions 335 to 797 of the family's 1533-position model. The record is from RNAcentral.
ACUCCUGCGGGAGGCAGCAGUGGGGAAUUUUGGACAAUGGGCGAAAGCCUGAUCCAGCAAUGCCGCGUGCAGGAUGAAGGCCUUCGGGUUGUAAACUGCUUUUGUACGGAACGAAAAAGCUCCUUCUAAUACAGGGGGCCCAUGACGGUACCGUAAGAAUAAGCACCGGCUAACUACGUGCCAGCAGCCGCGGUAAUACGUAGGGUGCGAGCGUUAAUCGGAAUUACUGGGCGUAAAGCGUGCGCAGGCGGUUAUGUAAGACAGAUGUGAAAUCCCCGGGCUCAACCUGGGAACUGCAUUUGUGACUGCAUGGCUAGAGUACGGUAGAGGGGGAUGGAAUUCCGCGUGUAGCAGUGAAAUGCGUAGAUAUGCGGAGGAACACCGAUGGCGAAGGCAAUCCCCUGGACCUGUACUGACGCUCAUGCACGAAAGCGUGGGGAGCAAACAGGAUUAGAAACCCCAGUAGUCCC